This 497-nucleotide ribosomal RNA is filed under the name Enterobacter sp. RNAcentral's name for it is "bacterial SSU rRNA". It matches the Rfam family "Bacterial small subunit ribosomal RNA", at positions 913 to 1410 of the family's 1533-position model. The record is from RNAcentral. Lineage: Bacteria; Pseudomonadati; Pseudomonadota; Gammaproteobacteria; Enterobacterales; Enterobacteriaceae.
ACGGGGGCCCGCACAAGCGGUGGAGCAUGUGGUUUAAUUCGAUGCAACGCGAAGAACCUUACCUACUCUUGACAUCCAGAGAACUUAGCAGAGAUGCUUUGGUGCCUUCGGGAACUCUGAGACAGGUGCUGCAUGGCUGUCGUCAGCUCGUGUUGUGAAAUGUUGGGUUAAGUCCCGCAACGAGCGCAACCCUUAUCCUUUGUUGCCAGCGGUUCGGCCGGGAACUCAAAGGAGACUGCCAGUGAUAAACUGGAGGAAGGUGGGGAUGACGUCAAGUCAUCAUGGCCCUUACGAGUAGGGCUACACACGUGCUACAAUGGCGCAUACAAAGAGAAGCGACCUCGCGAGAGCAAGCGGACCUCAUAAAGUGCGUCGUAGUCCGGAUUGGAGUCUGCAACUCGACUCCAUGAAGUCGGAAUCGCUAGUAAUCGUGGAUCAGAAUGCCACGGUGAAUACGUUCCCGGGCCUUGUACACACCGCCCGUCACACCAUGGGAG